This 395-nucleotide unclassified non-coding RNA is filed under the name soil metagenome. RNAcentral's name for it is "partial contains 5.8S ribosomal RNA, internal transcribed spacer 2, and large subunit ribosomal RNA". The stretch from base 1 to 120 matches the Rfam family "5.8S ribosomal RNA", at positions 35 to 154 of the family's 154-position model. The record is from RNAcentral.
GAUGAAGAACGUAGCGAAAUGCGAUAAGUAAUGUGGAUUGCAGAAUUCAGUGAAUCAUCGAAUCUUUGAACGCACCUUGCGCCUUUUGGUAUUCCGAAAGGCACACCUGUUUGAGCGUCAUGAAUACCUCAAUCUCCAUCUUUUCUUCGGAUUGAUGGGUGACUUGGAUGUUGAGCCCUGCUGGUAUGCUAUAUCAGCUGGCUUUAAACUUAUUAGCCGGCUCUGUACUGGAUCGGUUUGACUCGACGUGAUAAUAUUAUCGUUGAGGAUGCAUGUCUCAUGCAGCCGGAAAGUAUCAAAGCAGCUUCUAGCUUGCCUUUAGUGCACUUUUACAUUUUAGACCUCAGAUCAGGUGGGACUACCCGCUGAACUUAAGCAUAUCAAUAAGCGGAGGA